This 811-nucleotide ribosomal RNA is filed under the name uncultured bacterium. RNAcentral describes it as "bacterial SSU rRNA". It matches the Rfam family "Bacterial small subunit ribosomal RNA", at positions 92 to 904 of the family's 1533-position model. The record is from RNAcentral.
CGAGUGGCGCACGGGUGCGUAACGCGUAUACAAUCUGCCUCUUACAGGGGGAUAGCCUUUGGAAACGAAGAAUAAUACCCCAUAAUAUACGGAUAUCGCAUGGUAAUCGUAUUAAAGAUUUAUCGGUAAGAGAUGAGUAUGCGUCCUAUUAGCUAGAUGGUGUGGUAACGGCACACCAUGGCAACGAUAGGUAGGGGCCCUGAGAGGGGGAUCCCCCACACUGGUACUGAGACACGGACCAGACUCCUACGGGAGGCAGCAGUGAGGAAUAUUGGACAAUGGGCGCGAGCCUGAUCCAGCCAUGCCGCGUGCAGGAAGACUGCCCUAUGGGUUGUAAACUGCUUUUGUACGGGAAGAAACCCACCUACGUGUAGGUGGCUGACGGUACCGUAAGAAUAAGCAUCGGCUAACUCCGUGCCAGCAGCCGCGGUAAUACGGAGGAUGCAAGCGUUAUCCGGAAUCAUUGGGUUUAAAGGGUCCGUAGGUGGAUCGAUAAGUCAGAGGUGAAAGCCUGCAGCUCAACUGUAGAACUGCCUUUGAUACUGUCGGUCUUGAAUUAUUGUGAAGUGGUUAGAAUAUGUAGUGUAGCGGUGAAAUGCAUAGAUAUUACAUAGAAUACCGAUUGCGAAGGCAGAUCACUAACAAUAUAUUGACACUGAUGGACGAAAGCGUGGGGAGCGAACGGGAUUAGAUACCCCGGUAGUCCACGCCGUAAACGAUGGUCACUAGCUGUUCGGACUUCGGUCUGAGUGGCUAAGCGAAAGUGAUAAGUGACCCACCUGGGGAGUACGUUCGCAAGAAUGAAACUCAA